AAGGAUCAUUAAUGAAUACAAUUCGGUCGGUGGGAAGGAGGGAGCUGUCGCUGGCCUUUUUGGCAUGUGCACGCUCUCUUUGGAACAUCGGUCGUCUUUCAUAUUUUCACCAGUGCACCCAAUGUAGGAUGCCUCUCCUCCGGGAGGGGGGACCUAUGUCUUUUUCAGACGCCCACAGUUUAGAAAGUCUCAGAAUGUUUACUAUCGUCGAACCACGACUUCCAGGAGAUGUGGGUUGGCGAGAUAAAAGUUAUCACAACUUUCAGCAACGGAUCUCUUGGCUCUC
Molecule: unclassified non-coding RNA, 286 nt
Filed under: uncultured fungus
Lineage: Eukaryota; Fungi
Description: partial contains 18S rRNA, ITS1, 5.8S rRNA, ITS2 and 28S rRNA
Source: RNAcentral